Long non-coding RNA from Chelonia mydas (Green sea turtle), 2012 nucleotides. RefSeq lists it as uncharacterized. The record is from RefSeq and is a predicted model, not a curated record. Lineage: Eukaryota; Metazoa; Chordata; Testudines; Cheloniidae. The transcript has 7 exons.
GAGGGGGAAUCAUAUUCAUUUCACCCUAGGUUUUAAUUUAAUUCUGGGGCCAGAGCAAAACAGGUCAGGAGCCCGAGCCUGCUGCUCUUGAAACCGAGAGCGGCCCCACGGACUGCGCGGGACUCAACUUCGUUCAAUGGAUUGUUUGCAUGAUUAUUAGUGGAUUGAAUUAGCUGAUUUAUUUCGGCCUGUCUGGCACUACAAGUGUGGCCUGGUGCCUGCCGAUCAGGUUAUGCAGAGCCUGGCUUGCAGGAUCCAUGUCCCAAAUGGGUGCCUUGAGAACACGGAUCAUUUAAAUCGGGCUGAUGAGAGGCAGAGGCGGAGUGUAGGGCUUUGCAGCGUGCCAAUCACCGCUACAAUUCCGCUUAUGGCAGGCGGCCGCGAUCCCCAGGGCGCUGCAGGGAGCGAUGCUGUCUGCGCUUGUGAACACCUUGGCCAUGUGUCUCCCUCUCUGGGUGGCAUCACAGCCGGAGGAGAUCAGGGCUAUGGAUGGCUGCCGUGGCUGACCUCCUGCAGCAAAGAUUGAUUGAUUUUAAUUUUAUUGGCCAGCCUCUCCCAAUUAAGUGAGUAAUUAGUAACCCAAUUAAAUAACUGAGUAAAAAGUAAUCCCCAGGAAGGGGGAGGAGAAAAAAGAGCAGAGCCGCCUGUUCUGAGUAACUCAGGCCCUGACGCACACUCCCAGCUUCCAGCCCUACAGCAUUUACAAGGAGCAGGACCGGCCCGGGUCCUUAGGCUGCGGCGUCGGGGGGAACGAGAAGAGGCGGAGGCGGUCGAAGUGCACUUGUUCGACUCGCCCAGCGUGACUGACAGCUCCGCAGAAAAGCUGAAGCCGUGUAGAACACUACAUGAUCCGGAUGGGGGAGUUCUGAGAGCAGUGACCAGUCAGAAUACCGGGAUUUGAAUAUUUCAAUCGCUGACAAUUACUACACACCUUUCCUCCGCUCUGGCUGAGACGAGGCCUGGCUGUGAGGGAGAAAACUAGGCGUAUGUUAUACUCUAUAUUAUUUUCAUUGCUGGUCUUGGAAAGUGCCCCUUUAACAAGGGAUGGAAUCUACCCCAGGAUCUGCAAGAGGGAAUAUGGCUGGGAACUCUACUGAAAUAUAAAUGAUAAUAAUUCAUGUGUUCAUAGACAUCCUGAAGUAUAUUUGGCGAUGUAAACAAGUUCUGAAUGAAGACAGUGUCUCAAGCAGCAUGCAGAGCUCUUUAAAGCAAAGAUUAAUGGCCUCAAUGUUUAGGCAAACUCCAAACUCCCUUUACUCACAUGAAAGGUCUGUAAAGAAGUUGACAAUACAUUUGGGCCAGAUGCAAACCCCAUUAAGGCCAAAGGGAGUCUUUCCAUGGACUUCAUUGGGCUUUGGCUCAGGCAGUGCCCCUUGCAGCAUUUUGAUGCAAUGGAGGAGUGAAGAGUAUUCAUUGGUCUUCUGCGAUUGGUGGUGAGAAGCGGCAGGAGAGAUUGAGACUGAUUCUCAUCUUAGCAUGUAAAGAUCCAGAGUGUCCCUUGUCUCAUCAAUCAAGAAGCUUACAGAGACACCAGCAGCAGAAGAUAGGGAGUCAGCAGCCUUGGGCACACGAAAACUGAUCACAGCAGGAGGACCGUUAACGCAUGUGCAGUGUGAUGAAUCUGGUUUGCCGACACAAUUGCCAUAAAUUGCAGCACUUCACUUUGCAGCAAAUGGUUGCAUGCUGUCUCAAGCGGAAGGACUUGGAGGAUGGAGGAAUGAUCCUCCAGGGCAGUAUGCAUUCUAUAUUAUUCAUACAUAAUGCUAUUGUUUUCCUUAGUGCAAACACUUAGGCUGUAUGUAUGCAAGUCAGUCUAUUGCUCCUCUGUUCAUCUUCAGAGUUGCUGAACUGUCUCUUACAAAACAUAAAGAGAAUCAGAUAUUUAGGAAACAUCAUAGGGGGCUUUCGUAUUACACCAAAAAAACAGAGGGUUGGAUAGAAGAAUAUAGUAUCAAUUUAUGCUUGCUUUGAGGAAUAUUUCCUCUCAAUAAAGCACAGCAUUUUAAAACCAA